UACGAAGGGGGGCUAGCGUUGUUCGGAUUUACUGGGCGUAAAGCGCACGUAGGCGGAUCUUUAAGUCAGAGGUGAAAUCCCAAGGCUCAACCUUGGAACUGCCUUUGAUACUGGGGAUCUUGAGUCCGGGAGAGGUGAGUGGAACUGCGAGUGUAGAGGUGAAAUUCGUAGAUAUUCGCAAGAACACCAGUGGCGAAGGCGGCUCACUGGCCCGGUACUGACGCUGAGGUGCGAAAGCGUGGGGAGCAAACAGG
Molecule: ribosomal RNA, 254 nt
Filed under: uncultured bacterium
Lineage: Bacteria
Description: partial 16S ribosomal RNA
Rfam family: Bacterial small subunit ribosomal RNA
Source: RNAcentral